AUUUUCUUUAAUGUGUCGUCAUCAUUGAGGAGUGCGAGAGGGAAACAUAAAGAAGUGGCGCUCUCCAAUCAAAAUUUGAGCGGGUUUAUGUUAAGGACCAAUCAGGUUGUCAGAAAAGAAAUCCCCGCCCGCGCGGUAAAUUCUGGUUUCUCAUCUACUGGUUGUAAUUUAGUUUGCCUUUUAAGCGUUGGGUGGUUCAUUUCCUGCUGUCUAAUAGUACUAUCAGUAUUAAUAAUAGUAGUAUGCCUUGAAUUUGAUUAGUGAUAGUAGUAAUAUAUUUCGUUGUCCAAAUUUAGCUUGGUUAUGCCGCGCAAAAAUCUACGUUUUUUAUUGGAACUGAAAGGAGUGAGUGAUUUCAAUUCUCAAAAUUGCACUCUCAGUCUCUUGCAAAAUUCAGGUUUAAUCUUAAUUUUUCGGUGAGCCACAGUGAGGGGGGAAAUUGAGAAGUGCGCUGGUCGAAUGAUUUUUAUUGUUUUAGCUUGCGGCGUGUCCGAAAAAGAGAGAAUCGCUUGUUCUAAAGUGAGAGUGUGGGAGCAGAGAUCGCCUCAGCAGCAGGUUGGUUGUGUGUCACUCCAACAACAAUCAACAUCAUGGCAACCGCUCUCCAGCAAAGGCGCGUCCUGGUGGAGAUCCCAGCACCUCAGCCCAAAAGUGCAGCUCAUAUGAGGAGGUCUUACUUGGAUGUUCUGAAUUCCCGUGUUGGAUCAUCUUCCCACAGCUCCAGAAACAGUGGCGUGUCCACCAACCCACGGAGGAACCGAGCAUUGGAGACCCAUCAUAGGAGUACACCCAUGAGCCAGUCAGAGGAUGUUCAGGUCAAGGAAGCAUCUCUCUCCCAGCAACAAGUUGUGCAGUUUAUUCAGUCUAUUAUGUUACACCAAAAGCAGCAGGAACCCACUGUCACUUGCUCAGAUGUGAAGGUUCUACUGGAAGAGCUACACCUGAAGAAGACUAUUGUGUACAGGUCCAUUCCCUACUCACGCCUCGGGUCAAACAGAGAUGCACACUGUUACAGAAAGGCCUAUCCCCACCUUCUAGCAUUCAAGCGCUUCUGCCAAGAGGGAGGCCGAUUGCUGCUCCAGGACCAGCGGUGGGAGGAAGCGCUGGAGUUCACCCUGGGAGCAUGGUGGUGCACAGCAUCCCUGCCGCAGUGGGAGGUCGCCGGCCACAACGUUCUGAGGGAGCAGUGCUACGGCACGCUGGCAGACCUGUGCACCACUGCACUGCGGCACCAUCGACCCCACUACAGCCAAGCCCUCGAGCUCUUCAGGAGGUUUAAACUGGCCAGGAUGCACAGUAACCUGAUCUCCCCUUGCAUUGAGACACUGGAGAGGAUUUUGGGUGAGGGUGAGGAGCAGGGCAGGGCAACUGAUGUGACCUCAUCUGUCCAGAGUCAGCAGUGAUGUUGGUCAGGUACAACUCUUCCCAGUGUCUGCCCCACCGAUGUAUGCAGUGGUACAAUCAAUGGAUCGCUGAGGCCGAACAGCUUCACUGUGAAAAACCUUCUAAAAGCCAGUGUUAUGCCAACCAUUUACCACAGUGCUGCAGUUUACAGUGGUUCUAUACUGGAUGGCAGCUGUCUGGAGUUGAUAUUGUUGGAUCAAUGAGUUGAUGGUCUCACUCUUCUUUAAGGAAAGAACUUGGAAGAUGUCACUCAUUUGACAUCACUGUAAUACGAGAAGACUCUGCCUCAAGGCUAUGAUUCUAAUUAAAAAGGAAAAGCAUUUUUAAAAAUUGAUACAAUAUGGUGCAUGAGGAGAGGGAAAAGGAAAACAUUCAAUUUAAUAGGAUUAUUUUUUUUGAGUUGAGGGAUUUUGUAUCUCUUCCUAUUUAAUUGAAUGCACUGGCUUUUUAUACACUAUACACUUCAUAAUUUCUGAAAGGGAAAGACCAAUUUUAAACAAGACAUGGAUCAUGAACUCCUUUACAAUGUGUUAAGAACGCUAAUGUGAGUACUUGGAAGUCAGCUGUCUGAGCAAAUUCAUUUCUAUAAAAUAUUCAAGAAGCCUUUUAGGAUAAGAGUUCCCUGAUGUUUAGAAUUUAUGGAUUUUGGUGAAGAUGGAACUUAUAGUGUGCGCCACAUAAAUAUUUAGACCUUUCUCUUGCUUCCGAUUCCAGUGUUUACCUUUGCAGAAUUGCACAUCUGUUUUGUUCUGCUGAAAACUUGAAUUUAACUCUUUAUUUCUGAAUAAAUUAUUGAAAACC
This is a long non-coding RNA of Scleropages formosus (Asian bonytongue), 2205 nucleotides long. The record is from Ensembl. Lineage: Eukaryota; Metazoa; Chordata; Actinopteri; Osteoglossiformes; Osteoglossidae.